Long non-coding RNA from Canis lupus familiaris (dog), 662 nucleotides. RefSeq lists it as uncharacterized. NCBI's taxonomy places the organism in Eukaryota, Metazoa, Chordata, Mammalia, Carnivora, Canidae. The record is from RefSeq and is a predicted model, not a curated record. The transcript has 4 exons.
UUGUAUAUGGUUGCUAUAGACUGAAUGUUUGUGUUUCCCCAAAGUUCAUAUGUUGAAAUCUGAUUCCCAGUGUGAUGGUAUUUGGAGGUGCCAUCUUUUGAAUAUGAUUGGAUUGUGAGUGUGGCACUCUCAUCAAUGGGAUUAGUGCCCUUUUAAAAGAGAUCCCAGAGAGCCCCUUCACCCUUUCACCCAUUCACCAUGUGGAGACAUGGUGAAAAGAUGGCUGUCUAUGAACGAGGAAGCAGAGCCUUGCUAGACAUCAAAUCUGCCAGCACCUUGAUCUUGGACUUUCAGCCUUCAAAACUGAACUUCCAAGUCUGAAGCCCUAAAUGUGGGGCCCUGCUGGCCUCUAGUCCUGGCCACUGAUGCACCAGCACAAACUGUCUCAUAGAAGGAAGGCUCUGGUCAAGAGGGGUGCAAGCCAGGGAGUGGGGUAAUGAAGUUGGAAACAGAGAAGUUGAAUAAUUUGUGCAAGAUGAACUGCUAUGUGAUGGGACAAAAACCCAACUCAGCCUAGGUGCUGAGAGCAACCAGUGGAUGAGAAGCCUGCCUGCCUCUUCUCCAUGACCAACAUAUUCUGGCCACCCAGUUGUUCUAUGUACAGGGGGCCUACAAAAUACAGAGUUAAGUAUUUUUGGUAAAUAUAGCAGACUCUUAAUUCA